CCUACGGGAGGCAGCAGUAGGGAAUAUUGCUCAAUGGGGGAAACACUGAAGCAGCAACGCCGCAUGGAGGAUGAAGGUUUUCGGAUUGUAAACUCCUUUUGUUAGAGAAGAUAAUGACGGUAUCUAACGAAUAAGCACCGGCCCACUACGUGCCAGCAGCCGCCGUAAUACGGAGGGUGCAAGCGUUACUCGGAAUCACUGGGCGUAAAGAGCGCGUAGGCGGGAUAGCAAGUCAGAUGUGAAAUCCUAGGGGUUAACCAUAGAACGGCAUUUGAAACUGUUAUUCUAGAGUAUGGGAGAGGUAGGUGGAAUGCUUGGUGUAGGGGUAAAAUCCGUAGAGAUCGAGAGGAAUACUCAUUGCGAAGGCGACCUGCUAGAACAUAACUGACGCUGAUGCGCGAAAGCGUGGGGAGCGAACAGGAUUAGAUACCCCUGUAGUC
RNAcentral lists this ribosomal RNA (440 nucleotides) under uncultured bacterium. RNAcentral's name for it is "partial 16S ribosomal RNA". It matches the Rfam family "Bacterial small subunit ribosomal RNA", at positions 338 to 795 of the family's 1533-position model. The record is from RNAcentral.